This is a long non-coding RNA of Microtus oregoni (creeping vole), 195 nucleotides long. RefSeq lists it as uncharacterized. The record is from RefSeq and is a predicted model, not a curated record. The transcript has 3 exons. Lineage: Eukaryota; Metazoa; Chordata; Mammalia; Rodentia; Cricetidae.
AGGCGGAAAAGAAAUUGUCCGGGAUCCCUGCAGUCUUUCCGUAGGUUGUGGUACCACGCCAGGCAAGAGAAGAGGAAGGAAAUUAACCAGAUCGGUGAAGGUCGAUUUGAGGUACUUCGUGUCCAUGUUUUCGAUCUGUCAUCCUGCAGGUCUGCUGUAGCAGGUGGCACUGCUUGAAGCAAGGGAGGAACUCCC